UACGAAGGGGGCUAGCGUUGCUCGGAAUCACUGGGCGUAAAGCGCACGUAGGCGGCUUUCUAAGUCAGGGGUGAAAUCCUGGAGCUCAACUCCAGAACUGCCUUUGAUACUGGAGAGCUUGAGUCCGGGAGAGGUGAGUGGAAUUCCGAGUGUAGAGGUGAAAUUCGUAGAUAUCAAGCGGAACACCGGUGGCGAAGGCGGCCUUCUGGACAGUGACUGACGCUGAGACGCGAAAGCGUGGGGAGCAAACAGG
RNAcentral lists this ribosomal RNA (253 nucleotides) under uncultured bacterium. RNAcentral's name for it is "partial 16S ribosomal RNA". It matches the Rfam family "Bacterial small subunit ribosomal RNA", at positions 524 to 776 of the family's 1533-position model. The record is from RNAcentral.